Long non-coding RNA from Panicum virgatum (switchgrass), 320 nucleotides. RefSeq lists it as uncharacterized. Lineage: Eukaryota; Viridiplantae; Streptophyta; Magnoliopsida; Poales; Poaceae. The transcript has 2 exons. The record is from RefSeq and is a predicted model, not a curated record.
CUUCCGCAGGCAGUUGCAGCAUUGCCUUAUUUGGAUUAUCACGGCUACCUACCAUAUGGAGCUCCACAGUUGCAAUAUCACCCACCUACGUACGUGUAUUUGCCACCAACAGACGAGCCGUAUGAGGGACCACCGGGAGAGAGAUUUGAGGACUGAAGAAUGCAGAGAAUAUGCUACAUGGAUUAUUCUGGACUAUGCCUUUGCCUCUGUUGUAUCUUUGGAUUGUAAUAAUUCUAAUGGACUUUGGAUGUAUUGCGUUCUAUGUGUGGACUUUGGACAUGAGUUAUGUGUAAUAAUUCUAAUGGACUUUGGAUGUAUUA